Molecule: ribosomal RNA, 281 nt
Filed under: Blautia schinkii
Lineage: Bacteria; Bacillati; Bacillota; Clostridia; Lachnospirales; Lachnospiraceae
Description: partial 16S ribosomal RNA
Rfam family: Bacterial small subunit ribosomal RNA
Source: RNAcentral
UACGUAGGGGGCAAGCGUUAUCCGGAUUUACUGGGUGUAAAGGGAGCGUAGACGGAUUAGCAAGUCUGAUGUGAAAGGCAGGGGCUCAACCCCUGGACUGCAUUGGAAACUGCCAGUCUUGAGUGCCGGAGAGGUAAGCGGAAUUCCUAGUGUAGCGGUGAAAUGCGUAGAUAUUAGGAGGAACACCAGUGGCGAAGGCGGCUUACUGGACGGCAACUGACGUUGAGGCUCGAAAGCGUGGGGAGCAAACAGGAUUAGAAACCCGGUCCGGCUGACUGACU